CAUCCCUUUGACCACCGUAGAGAUAUGGUUUUCCCUUCGGGGACAACGGUGCCAGGUGGUGCAUGGUUGUCUUCAGUUCGUGUCGUGAGAUGUUGGGUUAAGUCCCGCAACGAGCGCAACCCUUGUUUUUAGUUGCCAUCAUUUAGUUGGGCAUUUUAAGGUGACUGCCGGUGACAAACCGGAGGAAGGUGGGGAGGACGUCAAAUCAUCAUGCCCCUUAUGCCCUGGGUUACACACGUGUUCCAAUGGACGAUACAAACGGUUGCCAACUCGGGAGAGGGAGUUAAUCCGAUAAAGUCGUUUUCAGUUCGGAUUGUAGGUUGCAAUUCGCUUCCAGGAAGCCGGAAUCGUUAGUAAUCGGGGAUCACCAUGCCGCGGGGAAUACGUUCCCGGC
Molecule: ribosomal RNA, 394 nt
Filed under: Bacillus sp. R29
Lineage: Bacteria; Bacillati; Bacillota; Bacilli; Caryophanales; Bacillaceae
Description: bacterial SSU rRNA
Rfam family: Bacterial small subunit ribosomal RNA
Source: RNAcentral